RNAcentral lists this ribosomal RNA (460 nucleotides) under uncultured bacterium. RNAcentral's name for it is "partial 16S ribosomal RNA". It matches the Rfam family "Bacterial small subunit ribosomal RNA", at positions 338 to 795 of the family's 1533-position model. The record is from RNAcentral.
CCUACGGGUGGCAGCAGUGAGGAAUAUUGGUCAAUGGGCGCGAGCCUGAACCAGCCAAGUAGCGUGAAGGAUGACUGCCCUACGGGUUGUAAACUUCUUUUAUAAAGGAAUAAAGUGAGGCACGUGUGCCUUUUUGUAUGUACUUUAUGAAUAAGGAUCGGCUCACUCCGUGCCAGCAGCCGCGGUAAUACGGAGGAUCCGAGCGUUAUCCGGAUUUAUUUGGUUUAAAGGGAGCGUAGAGGGGUUGUUAAGUCAGUUGUGAAAGUUUGCGGCUCAACCGGAAAAUUGCAAUUGAUACUGGCAGUCUUGUGUCCAGUUGAGGUAGGCGGAAUUCGUGGUGUAGCGGUGAAAUGCUUAGAUAUCACGAAGAACUCCGAUUGCGAAGGCAGCUUACUAACCUGCCCCUGACAUUGAUGCUCGAAAGUGUGGGUAUCAAACAGGAUUAGCUACCCUUGUAGUC